Long non-coding RNA from Sebastes umbrosus (honeycomb rockfish), 691 nucleotides. RefSeq lists it as uncharacterized. NCBI's taxonomy places the organism in Eukaryota, Metazoa, Chordata, Actinopteri, Perciformes, Sebastidae. The record is from RefSeq and is a predicted model, not a curated record. The transcript is spliced from 3 exons.
ACUAACUGCUGCAGGAGCAAACAGAAGAAUUCAAGAGAGGUGGAGGAAGAGGAUAAACGAUGACGGGACCGGAGUAGGGCGCGAGAGGCGGAGGAAAACAGUGAGGUCUCAUGGGAGCAUGGGUGCUCAUUUCUGACGCCCCAACUCUUGUGACCUCUGUCCCAUUCCUACGGGUCACCCUCAUCAGGCCACUGAUGCAUAUUCAUUAGCGUAGUGACAUGGCUUUUUAAAGGCUCGUUAGCAUAGUGAGAGUUCAGCAAUAGAGGACAUUUACAUUCAGAGUGGACAGCUCUGUACAGUGUGUGUGUUGGUGUGUGUGCAUCUGUACAUCUGGCGGUAGCUGCAGAACUGUCUCAUAUUGUCUAUGUAUAGAUGAUGUUGCCUGAUUUAGAAACUAAGGAUGUGGUUUCUGCAGCAACACAGAGAUCAAGUUCCGGCCCCGCCCUGUUCACCUUGAGGUACCAGAGAUGCAAAGAGAUACUGUACAGAAGGAGGGAUGAGACACCGGGGUAUAGGGGGGAUGGGCAGGGGACAUAAGGGGAGCUCGACAUAACCUCUGUCUGUGACAUGUAAGAAUAUACACUAUGUUUUUAUUAUGACAAACAUUUUCAAUUUUAGAUGAUCACCCCUUAAAGUGUGCUAUUUUAUUAUUUUUGUGGCACAGUCUGGAGGCCAGCUGACUCAAGCCCAU